Molecule: long non-coding RNA, 883 nt
Organism: Ctenopharyngodon idella (grass carp)
Lineage: Eukaryota; Metazoa; Chordata; Actinopteri; Cypriniformes; Xenocyprididae
Exons: 4
Source: RefSeq, a predicted model, not a curated record
GAGUAAAGGAUGGUAUUCAAGGACUGAAUCUUCAACAUCUCAAAACUAUUCGCAUCAUUCUGCGGAAAGUUAAUGUUUUCCUGGAGUUCAAAGCAAUGGCACAGCAAAUGUUCUGCGUUAACUUACAGUUAACAAUUCCUGCACCACUUAUACCUACCAGUGUAGCCACCAGAGGACACAGGGUUUCAUCUAGAUCAUGCAGACCAGGCUCUCUUGUCUUGAGUUCUCUAGUGACAUCUUUACCAGUCACAGAGAGCAGAACAGCAUUUCUAGUCAUCGGUCACACCAGUAAUGAAGUAUCUGAUGCCUGCAGAGAACUUCAGCGGGCGUAUGACAGCCAGUGCUCCACACACUCCUUCUACUCAGAGGAGAUCGAACGUCUCAUUCAGGAUGAGAUGAACCAGCUGUUCACUAAAGUCAAUUUACUGCACCUGCAGCUGGAACAGAGCAGCUCUGAAGGAUGGGUAGUUAAAGGGCUGAAGGAUGAUGUGAAUGAGGUGGUUAGACUGAUACAAGAUGUACUUCGCAGACAGGUAAGAGAGAAGGACCAGACAUCACUCUACACUCAAGUCACGUGGUGCAUUCUGGGACCACAGGGUGUUUGGCAGAAGGUUCCCAUAGAGGUUAAUUAUAAGCUUGAGAGAAACAAUGUGAAAGAUGGAAUUAUGGAUGCACAGGGUGUGAAAUGGACUGUGGAUUUGAGAAAGAUGGAGGCCACAGCAUGUGAUUCAGGACAGGUGAUGGCUCUGAAACGAUUGGAGAACCUUCCAGAUUUCUCUUUGCCUAUCUACUGGGACAACAUGAGUCAGUACGAGUGUGUAAAGGUGACUGCUUGCGAUCCGUCGUCUACAGAGUACCAGGAGGUGAAGAUGGGCUUUAAAAA